This 253-nucleotide ribosomal RNA is filed under the name uncultured bacterium. Its description in RNAcentral is "partial 16S ribosomal RNA". It matches the Rfam family "Bacterial small subunit ribosomal RNA", at positions 524 to 776 of the family's 1533-position model. The record is from RNAcentral.
UACGUAGGGGGCUAGCGUUGUCCGGAAUCAUUGGGCGUAAAGAGCGUGUAGGCGGUCCGGUAAGUCCGCUGUGAAAGUCGGGGGCUCAACCCUCGAAUGCCGGUGGAUACUGUCGGGCUAGAGUGCGGAAGAGGCGAGUGGAAUUCCUGGUGUAGCGGUGAAAUGCGCAGAUAUCAGGAGGAACACCGGUGGCGAAGGCGGAUCUCUGGGCCGACACUGACGCUCAGGCACGAAAGCGUGGGGAGCAAACAGG